RNAcentral lists this ribosomal RNA (503 nucleotides) under uncultured bacterium. RNAcentral describes it as "partial 16S ribosomal RNA". It matches the Rfam family "Bacterial small subunit ribosomal RNA", at positions 30 to 523 of the family's 1533-position model. The record is from RNAcentral.
AUUGAACGCUGGCGGCAGGCUUAACACAUGCAAGUCGAGCGGGGUGAUGGUGCUUGCACUAUCACUUAGCGGCGGACGGGUGAGUAAUGCUUAGGAAUCUGCCUAUUAGUGGGGGACAACAUCUCGAAAGGGAUGCUAAUACCGCAUACGUCCUACGGGAGAAAGCAGGGGAUCACUUGUGACCUUGCGCUAAUAGAUGAGCCUAAGUCGGAUUAGCUAGUUGGUGGGGUAAAGGCCUACCAAGGCGACGAUCUGUAGCGGGUCUGAGAGGAUGAACCGCCACACUGGGACUGAGACACGGCCCAGAGUCCUACGGGAGGCAGCAGUGGGGAAUAUUGGACAAUGGGGGGAACCCUGAUCCAGCCAUGCCGCGUGUGUGAAGAAGGCCUUACGGUUGUAAAGCACUUUAAGCGAGGAGGAGGCUCUUUUGGUUAAUACCCAAGAUGAGUGGACGUUACUCGCAGAAUAAGCACCGGCUAACUCUGUGCCAGCCGCCGCAGUAA